GGGGCUGUAGCUCAGCUGGGAGAGCGGCGGCUUUGCAAGCCGUAGGUCGUCGGUUCGAUCCCGACCAGCUCCACCA
This 76-nucleotide transfer RNA is filed under the name Parazoarcus communis. Its description in RNAcentral is "Azoarcus communis tRNA-Ala". It matches the Rfam family "tRNA". Rfam says of the family: Transfer RNA (tRNA) molecules are approximately 80 nucleotides in length. RNAcentral also lists the same sequence under 41 other names. Lineage: Bacteria; Pseudomonadati; Pseudomonadota; Betaproteobacteria; Rhodocyclales; Zoogloeaceae. The record is from RNAcentral.